CAACUUGAGAGUUUGAUCCUGGCUCAGAACGAACGCUGGCGGCAGGCCUAACACAUGCAAGUCGAGCGCAGUCCUUCGGGACCGAGCGGCGGACGGGUUAGUAACGCGUGGGAACAUACCCUUUUCUACGGAAUAGCC
RNAcentral lists this ribosomal RNA (138 nucleotides) under Sulfitobacter sp. RNAcentral describes it as "partial 16S ribosomal RNA". It matches the Rfam family "Bacterial small subunit ribosomal RNA", at positions 1 to 148 of the family's 1533-position model. Lineage: Bacteria; Pseudomonadati; Pseudomonadota; Alphaproteobacteria; Rhodobacterales; Roseobacteraceae. The record is from RNAcentral.